Pelobates cultripes (western spadefoot toad) is the source of this 167-nucleotide non-coding RNA. NCBI's taxonomy places the organism in Eukaryota, Metazoa, Chordata, Amphibia, Anura, Pelobatidae. The record is from the annotation of a GenBank genome assembly.
GGUCAGUUGACACAUCCCUGCCAAUCUCCGGCAGACCCUCCCUCCCAGAUCCUCCCACCUCCUGGACAGCAUCCAUGUUGAAGCUGCCUUCAAUAUGGAUGCUGUCCAGGAAGUAGGAGGGUCUGGGAGGGAGGGUCUGCCGGAGAUUGGCAGGGAUGUGUCAGCUG